UCCCUCGUAUCUCAGUCGGUAAAGAAUCUGCCUCCAAUGCAGGAGACCCGGGUUCAAUUCCUGGGUCGGGAA
Non-coding RNA from Bos taurus (domestic cattle), 72 nucleotides. Lineage: Eukaryota; Metazoa; Chordata; Mammalia; Artiodactyla; Bovidae. The record is from Rfam.